UUUCCGUAGGUGAACCUGCGGAAGGAUCAUUGUCGAAACCUGCCCAGCAGAACGACCCGCGAACUUGUAUAAACAACCGGGGGCGGGGGGCGUUCUCGCCCCGUGCCCCCGAACGGCGGGGAGACACUCGUGCCUUCUUGCCGAACAGCGAACCCCGGCUCGGUCUGCGCCAAGGAACUUCAACUAAAGAGUGCCUCCGGUCGCCUCGGAAACGGCGUGCGUGCCGGGGGCGAAUCUUGUGCAAAACCAUAACGACUCUCGGCAACGGAUAUCUCGGCUCUC
Molecule: unclassified non-coding RNA, 282 nt
Filed under: plant metagenome
Description: partial contains small subunit ribosomal RNA, internal transcribed spacer 1, and 5.8S ribosomal RNA
Source: RNAcentral